GGCACGGUCAUGCCCAGUACGGCGAGUGAGCGGCAAGAGCUCAAAUUUGAAAUCUGGCCUCCCCCGGGGGUCCGAGUUGUAAUUUGCAGAGGAUGCUUCGGGCGCGGCCCCCGUCUAAGUUCCUUGGAACAGGACGUCAGAGAGGGUGAGAAUCCCGUCUUGGGCGGGCGGCCCGCGCCCGUGUGAAGCUCCUUCGACGAGUCGAGUUGUUUGGGAAUGCAGCUCUAAGCGGGUGGUAAAUUUCAUCUAAAGCUAAAUACCGGCCGGAGACCGAUAGCGCACAAGUAGAGUGAUCGAAAGGUUAAAAGCACCUUGAAAAGGGAGUUAAACAGCACGUGAAAUUGUUGAAAGGGAAGCGCUUGCGGCCAGACUCGGGGGGCGGGGUUCAGCGGGCGCUCGUCGCCCGUGCACUGCCCGCUCCCCGGGCCAGCAUCAGCUUCGACGGCCGGUCAAAAGGCCCCCGGAAUGUGUCGUCUCUAGGGACGUCUUAUCCCCGGGGGGUGCAAUGCCUCA
RNAcentral lists this ribosomal RNA (513 nucleotides) under Trichophyton rubrum. RNAcentral's name for it is "partial large subunit ribosomal RNA". It matches the Rfam family "Eukaryotic large subunit ribosomal RNA", at positions 67 to 581 of the family's 3401-position model. Lineage: Eukaryota; Fungi; Ascomycota; Eurotiomycetes; Onygenales; Arthrodermataceae. The record is from RNAcentral.